UACAGAGGUCCCAAGCGUUGUUCGGAUUCACUGGGCGUAAAGGGUGCGCAGGUGGGUUUGCAAGUUUGAUGUGAAAGCCCCGGGCUUAACCCGGGAAUGGCAUUGAAUACUGCAGAUCUGGAGGAUUGGAGGGGGGACUGGAAUUCUCGGUGUAGCGGUGAAAUGCGUAGAUAUCGAGAGGAACACCUGCGGCGAAGGCGGGUUGCUGGGCUGACACUGACGCUGAUGCGCGAAAGCCAGGGGAGCGAACGGG
This 253-nucleotide ribosomal RNA is filed under the name uncultured prokaryote. Its description in RNAcentral is "partial 16S ribosomal RNA". It matches the Rfam family "Bacterial small subunit ribosomal RNA", at positions 524 to 776 of the family's 1533-position model. The record is from RNAcentral.